UACGGAGGGUGCAAGCGUUGUCCGGAUUUAUUGGGUUUAAAGGGUGCGUAGGUGGCCCGUUAAGUCCGGGGUGAAAGCCCACAGCUCAACCGCGGAACUGCCAUUGAUACUGGGAGGCUUGAGUACAGACGAGGUAGGCGGAAUUGAAGAUGUAGCGGUGAAAUGCUUAGAUAUCUUCAAGAACACCGAUUGCGUAGGCAGCUUACUAGGCUGUAACUGACGCUGAGGCACGAAAGCGUGGGGAGCGAACAGG
This 253-nucleotide ribosomal RNA is filed under the name uncultured bacterium. RNAcentral's name for it is "partial 16S ribosomal RNA". It matches the Rfam family "Bacterial small subunit ribosomal RNA", at positions 524 to 776 of the family's 1533-position model. The record is from RNAcentral.